RNAcentral lists this ribosomal RNA (235 nucleotides) under uncultured bacterium. RNAcentral's name for it is "partial 16S ribosomal RNA". It matches the Rfam family "Bacterial small subunit ribosomal RNA", at positions 96 to 334 of the family's 1533-position model. The record is from RNAcentral.
UGACGGACGGGUGAGUAAUGUCUGGGAAACUGCCCGAUGGAGGGGGAUAACUACUGGAAACGGUAGCUAAUACCGCAUAACGUCGCAAGACCAAAGAGGGGGACCUUAGGGCCUCUUGCCAUCGGAUGUGCCCAGAUGGGAUUAGCUAGUAGGUGGGGUAAUGGCUCACCUAGGCGACGAUCCCUAGCUGGUCUGAGAGGAUGACCAGCCACACUGGAACUGAGACACGGUCCAG